UGGGGGCCAGUUUAACAGUUGUCGAAAUCACAGUAGCUACCACUACAACAAAGCUACUCAUGGGGACUUUUAUCAUGUAGAUUUUGAUGGUAGUAUUUUUGGCGAACAACUAGACUUUUUGUCUGUUUUCAUCUGUUACAUAUGUAAAUGUGCUCUAUAAUGAAGAUUAAUUCCACAGCUGUUUUAAAUCUUCCAAUUUAGCCCCUUAUUGUAAAACUUUGCCAUGGGAUUUAUGAGAUAAAUUAUGUUUCAGCAGCAUCGCUUUAUCUAACACUGACCUGCUGAUAGCAGCGGUCAAAAACUCCCCACUGACGGUUCAGUUUGCUUUUGUAGGUCACAGGGAGAGGUAUCACUUUUAACAUCAGUCUGUUUCAUAACCAGUUUAAACCCCCUCAUAGGAACUUUAAAGUAGGCUUUACCAGAUGAACAGGUUUCCAGUUUAAAGACAGUCCAAUUUGUGCAGUCACGUCAUCUCAGUAGUGUGUGUGUGUGUGUGUGUGUUUCAGACUAACAGAAACUAAGUAAAUCUAUAGUUUUACAACGAUUCUUGUGAAAAAAUGCAGCAUGUGUACCUGGUUUGUGCUGAUAAAAAGUUUUGACAUGGGAAUCCUGCACUUGCUCCCUCAUUUUCUCAAAAUCACGAGUGAAGCUGCAUACUAAAACACCAUUCACAUGUCAAACCAAUCAAAAUAUUCAUACAGGCAUACAAAAAUGUGAUCUUAUUAGUCUAAGCUAACCAUGUUGGUCCCUUCUUGGAAUAACAAACAUUUAGCACACAUAACUUUUGCAAGUUUCACAGUUAAACCUACAAAACACAUUUUUACUACUUCCCCAUAACCUGUCAGUCAUUCUGGCUCAUUUCGUACCCUCUGCAUACCUGCACACCCCGGUGUCUGAAAUCUGUCUACUCGAGUGUCGCAGUCAGGCGUGACAGUGUGACAGUCAGUCAGCAUGCACAACAACAGGUCUUUACAAGAGAAGCAGCCUAACAGAAUUCAGAUAAUGUUCAUUUGAAUGUGAUGGCCUGUGCUUUUCUGCUGUCUGAGUGUGGCUACUGUAAUGUAAACAUUUGGAGUUUUUGCAUUGAAAAAAGUAUUUUUGGUUUGUUGAGAAAAAUAGCAAAAAAUGUCAACAAAGUAUUUAUUAGUUUUGAGUAAUUCCAUCAAAUUUUUUUUGUUUUUUUCUCCAUUAGAGCCAAAAAAAUAUGUAACAAGUUCUAACAUAUUGUUCAUCUAUGUUUUACCAAAAAGCAUCUCUCUAAAAUCUGUUCAUAUCUUCUUGCACUUGGCCCAGUUCGUGACCAAUAGCCAUUGUUCAGCCACUUCCAACUUGACAACUUCACCACUGAGUCACAGAGUUAGAAAUAGAUGGACAGAUCACCUCUUUAGCAGUUUUUCCUCGUUAUUUCAGAGUCAUUUCUUCGUGAGCUUAUGCAGCUGAAGCAACAAGACAGCACGAUUAAAAUGUCCUCCUGAGGAAACAGACAGAAAUGAUUGAACCGCAUGGAAAAAUGUCAGUGAAAAACAAAGCUAAAUAUUUAUUCAAGCUUCUCUGGUGGUCUCGGGCUUUUUACCAUCAAAGAAAGUCAAUCUGGGCUUGAAGGCUGCAGACAUAAAUUACCGUGGCGAGGAACCAAUAGCAAUCACUUAUUGCAGUCAAUCUGACACUAACAUGGUGUGAAAGUAUCAGAGGAACCGACCAGCACAAUCAGUCCCAUUCUGUUAACAUCAUAUGCAUAUCACUUGCAGUAACAGCCCAUUUUUUCUCAUGUUUGUCCACUUCUGUUUGUGUGUCUGCAUCCACUGCAAUACAGCGAAUCCUGAAAGACAAGGAUUUUCAAGCAACGAAAGUCAUGAGUGAAGGUUUUGGAAUCAUUAAGCCCAAAGUGCCUUUUCUCCCAUGUUUUCCGAUUUAGAAAUCAAUCCCAAAUCUCUCUACUUGUUUUGUUUUCUUUGUGUCUUGUUUGGUCCUGUCCAGGUUGUAACAAAUGGUAGGUUAAUGGGUUUGUUCAGCAAAGGCCUUGAAUGCCUGCUCUGCUGACUUGAGUACACACACACACACCAACUCAAGCACAAAACACACAGACACAUACACUGCUCUAAUUGUUUCCCUUUGGACACAAACAGAAUUGUGUUCAGAUCCAUCACUGAGCAGAGACAGACACAGAUCUUACAGACACAGAGAGCUCUGUGGUACGAGGAAACGGCAGCGGAGUGAAACACUGAUAGGGCCACUGAUGAUACCGAGGGAUGUGAAGAGACGAGUAGUGCCCUUGAUCUCUUCUGACCUAGAAUGGAAAGCUGAGCCACGAUAGUUCAUGUGGUGUCUGACUUACAGUGCACAGAUGUGGAACAACACCUGACAGUGCAAACGCUUUAAGAUGACCCAUCAAAUUUCUAUCUGAUGAGACAGGCACAAAUACACAAACACAGAGUGAUGCAAAUUUGAGAACACAUGCAGAAGUCUGAACAAAUGUAAGUCUAAAAAUGUGCUACAAAUGAAAAAUUUGCAGAAACCAUUACACACCUCUUUGAAAGUAUGAUGCAUUGACUGGUGUUGUCCUUUUCAUACGUGGUGCUGGACAUCUUACAUGACAUAAACACAACAAGUCUUAAUAUUUUGCUUGUGAAAAUUUAGCCGUUGCAAUCUCAUAUCAGCUCACCCAAACAAGUCAGAGUGAAUUUUUGGCUAUUUGUGUUCACACGUGUAGCUCAUUCUAAAUUUUGAAUACUUUUAUGCAUAUGUGUAACCAUAGCUUGAGUCUGGAGCAACUGAGUAGUACAAUCCAAGCUUAAAUCUACCCUAGCAACUCCCACCUGUAUGACCACAGUGUUUGUUCCUGCCUAGUGUUACAAACCAUUAGCAGCAUGUCCGAGACUAUUUUUAAACAUGCCCGGCUAUUUUCAUAAACGGACAUUUAAUUGUCUCCGUUUACAAAAAAGACUGCGUGCACACCACUACAUUUUCAGAAAAGUUUUCAUUUACACCGACCUGUGUAUGUAUGCCAUCAAGAGCGUAUCGAACAUGUGGGUGGCAGUGUAGCGAGCAGCUCAAGCUAGUUAGCCAAUCAGAAUCCCGCAUAGCAUCAACAACAACAACAACAACGUCCCUUCCUUCUGUCUUGCGCACAACCUGCUGUCCGCUACCCAAAUCUGCGUUUUUCUCUGUGUACAUGCAAAUGUGCGAGUUUUCCAAAAUCUCCUCUCUGGCCAGAGUUUUUAAAAAAGCAUUAUUUUCAGGGGCGAAUUCUCUGUUUGGGUGCAAAUGAUGGUUAAUGUCUCAAUUUUUAAACAUAAGCGAGUACAUAUAAAUGGGACCCUAGACUUGCAAAAAUCAACGCAGAGAGUAAUUUUCUACAAAAGUCUUUUUUUCUUUUUCACUUUCACUAAGGUUUGCCGUGUGAAAUGUUCUGUAACGCUCUGUAAAAUGUCAAGCUAUACAGCUACAUGUUAGUGACCCUGACUUGGUUUUUCAAUGUAAAAUAAAGUCAGAAGUUUCAAAACAGUGAUGGUGUGAGAAGAAGAGUACUUCUGUGCUGUUCAGAACCAAGUUAUUCACUGUGGCCUUGACUAUUAUGUGGAAAAGAUACAAGGUAAUGAAAGAAAAACUGCCUUUCAGUGGAUCUCAAAGCUACUCCCGCUUCAAAGAUUUACUGCGGUUUUCUGUUUACUCCGUCUGCUUGGCUCCUGAAACCAAAUAAAUCAUCCAAUAACAUGUCUAAGCUAACAUGAACAGUCACUUCAACUAGCUCAAUAGAGCGGUAACACUGAAAAGGUAUCGCAGGCUCCAGCAAUAAUCAGGAGGUGUCAGGUUUCAUUACCUGGAAAAAAAGCUGACCGCACCAUGGCAUCACACAAGAGCGAGCAUUAGAGCACGUUAAAUGUUGAGUCAGAUGUAAGAACAGAGAUGAGGUGGUGAGGUAGACAGGAGUAGUGUUUCUGGAUGAUGUAAAUAGUGUAGUAUCAGUAACACGCCUUACCAGCAAGUAUGAUAUCACCUUGUUUAGUGUGUGAUAAGAUAAGUGUCCUCGUAGAUCCUUGGCUGGUGGAUGCUUCUAUAUUUCAUUCUUUCCUUCCCUCUGAAUUCCUUCCCUAUUUGGAAUUAAUGUGAAGGGCUUCAUUCGACAUGUUUUAAAUCAGAGAUAUUUCACUUUUUACAACUCGCUUCAGCUCAUUAAAAUGGAGAUUUUUUAUUGCUGUGUUUUUUCCUUUCCCUUUUUUUCAGUAUUUUUCCAUCGUUUUGCUCUCUUGACCUCACAUUUUAAUUUUUCAUUGUGUUUUUUUAGUUGUCACUGUUUUUCUUGAGUGUUUAAGCUUUCUCUCUCUCUUUGUCUCACAGUUUCACAUCAAUACAUGUUAUUUUUUCAGUCUACAAAACCAAAAGUCCAUGAGUCGCCUCUCCUUCAACAUACUGGCAUGCCAUCAUGCAUGCAUAAACUUACAUGCUUAUAUACACUACCAGAUGCCUUCCACACACUGGUGCACAGGGCAAUAACUAUGCACAUGCAUGCACAAACAGAGACAAUGGUAGCCUGAUGAAGGGACAAUAGUGCCUGUGUAAGCCUGUGUAGCUUUGCUGUGCCUGUCUCUGUGGGAAUUUAAUGGAUUCCUCUUCUAUUGUGGCCUCAGACAGAAAACCUUCAGAGCUGAGUUUACAAAACAACCUAACUUACAAAGUCCAGUCUUUAGAAACAGGUGAACUUUGCACACAUAUUGCGAGAUAAAAGUUUUAUUGUUGAGAUGAUAAGAAGUGCACGAACGCUGGCUCGUCCUCUUUUAUUUUAUACCCUGUCUCUGUAACUUUAUUAUCUGCUGUAGAACGAGGUUCACACACACACCUAGGUAAUAGUUCUCACAAUAAAGGCUCGCCAUGACCUCAAGCACGUACACCACACAUGUGAUUUAGUGUUACAAUGUAUCACGUUAACAUCAGCGUGAAGCGUGUGAUUCUUCACGUACAAGUUCGCUUGCAUCGAUCAGUCUUGGAGUGGUAUAAUCUAUUUUCUUUCCUAUAUUGUCUGUGUUUGCAGCCUGUGUAGGAGAAAAGCACCAGCUCUACAUCCCAUAACACAGCCCAGCCGUGCCUGUUGUUGUCAGGGUUACCAGGACUGACUGGUCAAUCUAAAGCAGAACAUAAUUAUAAUCCAGCUCUCUACACUCUCUCCGGUUCUCCACCCCUACAUCCACCCUUCUCUGUCGGUAUAACCCGCCAGAUUUCGUUGUAGGCUUGACAGAAACAAGACAGUGUUGUCUUUAGAUAGAUAUGCGAGACACUGUCUGUCUGCUCUUUCUGUCACUCAAGCAUCUGUCAAUUAAAUCCAGUCGGUCUGAAUCCUUCUGAUCCUCCUGACCCCCUCAGAGACCAGGCAGUCCAAUCCAGGUUUGGUCCCUCAUUUGUGUCGACUCCAGUGGAGGAAAUCAGGGCUGGUGUGUGGAAAAAAACUGCCCUUAAUACUGUUUGUCCUCCGAGCUUUUUUCUUCUUAAUUCACGCACGCAAAUGCACAGCCUCCAUCUCCUCUCACAGCUGUAUUAACAUCUGAACUAAUGGCAGGAGACCUGGAUCUGCUAAGCUUUACUAGGUGUCCGUAAUGUCGUGUCAUAAGUAGGGCUUAGCCUACUGUUAACUGUCUGAAACUGCGGACAGGAAGAUGUAGGUCAGGGCAGUCCCCUUGGGUGGACACUGCCAAGUUGGAUAUGUUGUUUGACUUUACGCACCCCUGUGUUUUUCCAUGAAAUGUUUUCUUUUACUGGGUCAGGCAGACAAACUGACAAAUUCUGGUCUCAUUUAGACUCCUGUGCAGACACACAUGAGGUCAUUCCCUGCAGACAAGUCAACACCAGUCGUAAUAAAACAUGAACAGUGCCAGCAAGACAGAUGUAGAUCAACAAGAGUCAAACACAUCAUGGCUUGACACUACAGCACGCGCGCCCCACCCAAACACUCAAUAACACACCGCCCAGGCCCCAGAGACCAGGCACGUCCAGAUUUCUGCUGCACUGGGCGUAUGCUGUGAUUGCUUUGACUUGAUGUUUGAACUGAUAGAACCAGUUUCUCCAUGUAAACAUAAUUAGGUUUUGAUACAAGAGUUAAGUGGAGGGUGUUUUGUUGACAACCUCCACAAUGAGAGUGAGACACAGAAGGUCAUUGCUGAAAAGAGUGGUGGAGAAACAUGCAUAUGCAACGAGGAUGUCAGCAGCCUGGUGAGGACUGUUGGGGAACGUUUAUCUAAGGCUGAUGUCAGUGCAUCAAGAGCCACCACGCAAAGGUGUCCUCAAGAAACUUCAGUUAUCAAUUUUACUAAUAUCAAGCAAACCAUGCAGAGAGUUAGAUAAGUAAAUUGUGAAUUUCAUUUGGACAUUAAGGUCCCAGAUAUUUCAAAAGAGUGGAAAGGCACAUACCCCAAAGUAGUGAUGGGCGGUAUGAACAAAAUCUUAUAUCACGGUAUAAAUAAUUUCAUAUCACGGUAAUGGUAUUUUAGCCUGGCUGGGCCAUCCUGUUGCGUGACACUUGCCGUUCCUUCACACAACAGUCUGGACUUCGGCCCAUUGGGAGCGUGUAUUAGCGCUUAGUGUAUUCUGCAAAGUCGGCAGAAAUCGUUUAUAUCCGGAUCUAAAUGAUUUCUGCCGACUUUGCAAAGUCAACUGCAGCAUUAACGGUGUUCUGAAUGAACGAUGCUUUGAAAAGUCCUGCAGCACGUGUUAGAUGUCACCAUCUACACAUGGACCAAUCAGAGGCUGUCUUUCCCUGUUGUCCGGGGAACAGUGGAAACACAGUCACUGAUUGGCCCGGUUAUUUUCUGAUCGCUAAUACACGCUCUCUAUGGGCCGAAGUCCAGACUGUUGUGUGAAGGAACGGCAAGUGAUUCACGCAACAGGAUGGCCCAGCCAGGCUAACGGUAUUUAUCACGGUGUGUUUUUUUCCCCCUGUAAAUUCAAUUAAUGGCUUAAAAAUAACCAUACUGUUGCAUUUAUUCAUUUUCCUUUUAUUUUUAAACUCAGAUUUGUAAACAAAUGCAAACAAAAUGCCAAGCAGUCUGCUGGACACGCUGUGAUUAUGGGUAGCGCACUCAAACCUGACCAAUCAAACGGAGCAAACAAACUCUGCACGACACGCUGGUGAAUAUACGGAAACGCACUCAAAAGGAUGCGCUCCGGCUUUCCUGUUAGUGAGUCCAAACUACUACACACUGACCACAGAGAUGCAGCAGACAUCUGCUCUCUCUCUCUCCAGUAUAAUCGGUAUAGCAAGAUUUCUACUGGUAGACACUUUUAUACCGUCACAUGGUAUAUACUGUCAUACCGCUCAACACUACCCCAAAGUGUUUUAAGUCUGGUGUGAAGUUUCCACAGUUAUUUCACUUAAAAAGUCACAAAUAUAAAAUAUGAGUUAAGAAUUGUCUCAUUAUAUUUUGAUUUAUUAAGAGGCGUAUCUUGUCUCUCAUGACAAUAUCAUGAACUUUUGUGCCCAGUCUACAUAUCCCCUCUCCUUCCCCCUCUCUUAAGUGCUCUUGAACCACGUAGUGACUCAGUGCUGUUUCUGUAACCUUCCAAAAUAAAGUUGCUUCAUUGGGACAGAGAUCAGGUUACCUUCUCCUUUACCCUCACCCCAUCCCUCUCCUUUCUCCUCCCUCUUUCUGUCCCUGUCUCUUUAAACCCCGUGUUUCCUUGUAUCUUAACAAAAAUAUCCUCUGUUACCUGUUUCCAACGUUUUACUUCUCCCUCAAAAUUCCCCCCUGUGCUCAUUUCCUGCACUCCCUACUUCCCCUGUGGACUGGCGCACUGUAAAAUGAAUGGCAUAAUUAGAAUUACACACUCUUAAUUGGCUCUUUCCCAGCUCCAUUCAUAACAGCUCUAUUUAAAAUCACACCCCCUCUCAGGGUAGGUACGCCUGAGUGUAUGUGUGUGUGUCACCGGAGACAAAAGUGUGAAAUUAAGCUUGCCAAAAUGCGGUGAAAGCACAGUGAGCCAUGGACACAUUUAUGUGUGCGUUCCCAGUGUUAUGUGUGUGGAGUGCACUCAUUAGCCCAUGUCCUCUAAUGAGAGCCACGGGUGGUUUAACACCUCGGCCCUAUAGACGGGGUCUGGUAUGCCAGCCCGAUUGUAAUUAUGGCAGUCAGUCUGAGCAGACCACAGUGCAUUAAGUGCCCUCUCUUAGCUGCACUCUUUUCUGUAAUUAGAAAUGUAAGAGCUGACCUGGAGUGUAUCUUUGUCCAUUCCUGCGCCCUGCCUCAGCAGAGAUGUACAAGACAAACAGCUGAAGAGGGAAUUGAACUGGCAACGUUGUUGGCAGCCGGCUAUAGUCAGGGAAUAAUUUCCUGUGCCGUCAUGAUGAAGUGGAGGCCAGAGAAGAGGUGAUGCAAACCUGCAGGGAUCACUGACCAUGUCUGUGUUUGUGUGUGUGUGUGUUUGUGUUUAAGAGAAAUAGAGAGUCAUUUGAGCACAACCCUGAACCACAGUGAGCUCACCACAACGGAGGACUGUAAUUAAGAUUUUUCCCAGAAUAGUGAGAAAACAGCAGAGAAAACAUUCAACUUUUAUACAGGCCGUGCAGCUUAGACAAACACACAUCCUCACAGCAAGAGCCGCACUCUCUCCAGCCUUUUAAACAUUAAAAAAAUACCUCCUCAAGUGUCCCCGCACAAUCUGAAAUUGCAAAUGUAGCUCGUUUAUCAGCAGACAUACCUUCCUGAAAAUAACAACCUUGAGAGAGCACGAUUUAGAAGCUUUUUCCGUGCCGUCAGGGUUCACUGAUUAAUUGGGCGUUCAUAUCUGCAACUAAGGUAAUGAAAUUUCAAGUUUCCAGCAUUUUAUUUAUUUUAAUUUUCUGCUCCCCAGACAUAGUGCAGAGAGAAGGCCAGCAGGACGAAUCAAUUUGAGGGCUGACAUUUUAUUGAAAUCCAUAUCAGUGUGUCUGAGUGGAUCACUUGAAUUACAAAAAAAACUGGGGCUGCAGGUGUUUGAGAAAUCCUCUUAAGUCAAAUAUGCUAACAAAACACGGUCGCAUCUUAUUUUGGGAAGCAGGAUGACAUUUUCCCUCCACACAAAGUAAGGUAAUAUUACAAAAUCCUCAUACAAUGACUGGGUAGAGCAUGAAUCGCAUUCAUGCAUAACAUGAUAUACACAACCUUCAAACCACGAGCAUAAGAAAGAAACAUGGGUAAUAGCAGCGAGUGAAGCUGAAGUGUGUUUAUGGGAUGCAUUAACAGAGACCGCACACUUGAAAAUGUACGUCCUGAGGCGUGCCAGGACAUUUAUCUCACUGUCCACUUAAGAGAGCUAAAUGUGCGCACAGACACACAAACAAAGAUAAGAUACGCAAAGACACUGAUGCUUACCCACUUAAGUGCAAUAUCCAAUAAUGGGAUUACAUCCUUGAUUCCACUGAUGGAGUAGAAACGUGGUGAAAGGAGUAAGGAGUCUCACAUGCACCAAGAAACCAGGAUUGGUACUAUGGGAUUUAGUCUAAUCGUAACAUCUAUACUGUUUUUGUACUUAAAUCAGAUGCAGAGGUACGAUUUUAUAAUUCAAGUUCUGCUCAGACUCCAUGACAAGCAUUGAAGGUUUAAAGAAAUGAUUCAUAGCACUUUAAAGCCCCCAGACCUUAACCAUAAGUCCGUUAUAACCAGACAAACUGAGCUUCCUCUUCAUUCCACAUCCCCCCGCACAGACGUGGACACAGUAAUGGGAUUUCCUUUAAUCAUAUAAGAGUAACAAUAGAGACUGAGGAGCUACGAGAUCCUGUCCGGUACUGUUCCUUGGCUGUUCUUUGAGUCACCCCUGACCUGCCCUCUAAAAGAAUCCCAAGAUUACCUGACCUGAGGCAGCAGGGCUGGAUUGGAUUACAUGCUUCCACCGUACGGACACUGUUGGCUAGACGGAGAUUGGCUUCUAAUGAAAGCGUCAUUAAGGGAUCUUUCACUUUGAAGUACACGUUAGAUUAACAAAAUAAAUACUCUAGCGUUAGGUCAUGUUACACCCAGUUUUUGUGCCUGUGAAUCCACUUAUCUGACAAACGCAAUCCAGUGCAGAUGGCAGUGAUCAAAGCUAAAUACGACUCGAAGUUUUAUUUUUCAUCCAACUUGGAUUCUUUUUGGAGUUCACUUCCAAUAUGACUGUUUUUGUCAGAAAUCAAGUUUGAUGAGGGUUUAUGUGUCCAUACAAAACUUAUUACAAUGCAUCAGAUCAAUGUUGAAUUACAUCAGUGACAAAGACACUUUGGUUUAGAGCAUAUACCCCAUUAGCUGUAUAAAAGCCCACAUCAGAGGAGAACAUUUUACUUGAAUGACUACAGUCCCCACUGAAAAAACGUCUCCAAAAACAACCUCCCUUUGAAUGAUCCCUUGAACAUCCCUCAGAUCCCCAUGAGCCUUUUUCCUUGCUGGAUCAAUGUGUGUUUGUGCGUGAGUCCAACUAAUUCAGAGUAUUUUAUUCCAUUAGUCCUUUCUGGUAGAGGACACCAUCUGUUAGCUGUUAGGAGCUUGGGAGGAGACCACCGCCCCAACUGACAUGUUGCGCACUGCCUGUUUUAACUCUCCCACUAACCUCUAAAUUCUGACCUGACCUUUUCUCUACCCAUCACCUGCUGUCAUCCAAAAACUGGAUACACAACCUGUCCACACAUACUUGAAUUAUUUCUGUGUGAAAGAUCGUCUGUACACGUGUGUGUGUGUGUGUGUGUGUGUGUGUGUGUGUGUGUGUGUGUGUGUGUGUGUGUGUUUUGGGAGGGUGUCUGUUUAGUAUCAUAAGAGUGAAAUUUUGCGCCUUAUUCACCCAGCAUUUGAAAACAAUUCAAACCUCGUGGAAAUUCCAUGUUUUGUUCUUGUUUUGUGUACUUCUGGGGACCUUGCAGACAGUCAUUACCUUUUGAGGACAUUUGGGUUUAUGGGGACAUUAUUGCAUGUUUUUAGACUUCAUUUUUAACUGGCUAUCUAAGCUUAUAGACUUGAAACUUUGUUUCUUGUGAGUGAAUUCUGUUGAUUUACACAAACUUUGUCCCUUCCACAAUGACUUCUGAAGGGCAGGAGGCCAUUAAAUACGACUUGAUGUUCAAACAGGACCCAAAACUCACCACCGAAAUGGAGGACUACAUAAUUGUUUUUUUCAAAAAAAUUGGACAUCCAAACAUACUUCAUCCAAUAAUAACAAAAUUGGUCUGCUCUUACAAACUAGAGAGAACUGGUGUGUUUUAUUGGACUUGAAGGGAUAUUUCUUCAUGGAAAUGCAAUCAGACCGAGACGCUAAGGCAGAAGAACUACCGCGUCUGCAGUGCAAAAUGAUAAAUAUGGUGAUUAUUACUUCAAGAAAAUGAUAAAGUAAUGAUCAUAAAUGUUCUUCCUUGAGCUGCAUCACCCCGCUAUAGUCCAUAAUGGACUGGUCAAAGUCUCGCUACAAAAAAGCGGCUGCUGGAAGAGAGUAGGUGAGUUGUGUUUAGUCUCUUUGCUAAAGAAAUCAGGCAAUGCUAGAAAGAUGUUUGGUGGCUAGUGCUGUGGUUGGGACCCUGUAUGUACUGUUGAUGAAGUUAGGUGCUGUUCUGAGCAUUAUUUAUGGCUAUAGAGUGGUAUUUUGGUCGAGGUUUGUAUUGCUACGUAUUGCUAUCGUGUGGUCGUUACUAAAGUUGGUAUAACUAGAGAAGAGGUCGGCAACAUUCAUCUCUCGAGGGGGUGUCUAACUCGGUGUUACGGUGUGUUUGACCCUAAAUUAAUUUUACACCGGAACAUCCCUUUGAAGUCCUUUUUGUGUCAUUACAGAUUUUCCAUGAAUGUUACUAAGAGGCUGACCUUUGAGUCCCCUAAAGCAUCUCUGGCUCUGGUCUGAUCUCUCGUGUUGCCCAUCUGGACAGCUAUAAACAUAUCCUCAGGGCUCCUUACCAUCUUGGUGUAUUAAUUAGUACUAUCUCCAUCAAUUUAAUUUUCACAGCCAAUUUUUUCAAUGUAGAAGAUCAAAUAGAAGGAAAAUAAGAUAGCUGGAUUAGACAGCGCUGUGCCCUAAACUGGGGGCUCAGUUUAGUGAUCACUCUUAAACAAGAGGUGCACACACAAACUAAUACCAAUCCCCAGUUUGACUAGAGAGUGCAUCAAUUAUUAAUGGACUGCUCUCGCUAAAUGCAUUCCCAGGCUCUCAUCAGACAAUCUCCGUAAGGAUCACAUCUGUGCUCCCAAACUGAGUGACUGCCAGAGGAAUCUAUUGAAAAUCUGCAACAAAGAGCUGCACAUAAAAUCUAUCACACAGUCCAGCAUUAUUACUCUGGCUGUGUGUCUGAGUGGUUUAGUGUGGGUGGAUCUGGCUGUGCAUUAUUGGAAGAUGCUAUCUGUAAUUGCAUCUACAGGUGUUUUUCUCGUUGCACAUUAGUUAUUUGCCACGCUCCAGCUCAACAUGUGAUAACACGACAUGCAGAGAUGAUGGUCUGAAUAGACACGGUGAUUGAUUCAGUGUGUGUGUGUGUGUGUGUGAGAGCUCCUGGGUCGGGAUUGUUUGCACGUAGCCCCCCUGACCUGCAAGUGCUAGACAGAGCGUUCUUGAUAAUUAAGCGACUGUGUGAUUAUGCAAUGAGCAUGACCGUGCCAAUGGAAGACAAAGAAAGAACAGACAGACACAACAGGAGGCAGAAAGAAAGAACAGCGUGACAACGUUGGACGAAUAACUGAGAAAAGACAAGAAACACAACUGAGCGAGGAUAAAGUCUUCCAAAGACUUAUUUAAAGAUAAAGUGUUAGCUUGGUUUGUUUUGGUGUUUUGCCAGAGUCAAAUGAAAAUUUGGUUUGAUGGUUUUCGAGUUGAGAUUUAUGCAACUGGUGGAGAGCAUGCAGUAAGUUAUAUUUGGAGGGGUCAGGCAAUGUGUGUUUGCAUUUAGAGAAUGUUAACGUAUCCAUGACACACAUACAUGCACUUUGCCCUUGCACCUGUAACAUUGUAACCUCAGCAUAGUGCGAGUAGUUAUGUGCGUGUUUGUGUUCAUCGCGGGACCCAAAACUAAACUUGGUUAGCGGCAGGAUUUUUACUGUUGGCUUUCUUUAACUUGUUGAGCUAUCCAAAGAUACGUUAAGCAUAGCAUGCAUUCAUGCUAUGAAUCUGAGGGUCACUUCACCUUAAUAAAUUCCAUUCAGCCACAGGAACGACCGACGUCAACCACGAGACUUUGGUACAUAGCUAGCAUUCUUAUUCAUUCUGGAGAUGUUGGGAAAGGUCGCAGCAGGACGUUCACCAUUUUUAAAUUUUUAAAAGUGAGAGGACAGUAAGAGAAAAGACUCAGACCACUCUCAGUAUUUCUGACUCGCUUUAGCACAGAGGAACUAAAGCGAAUUUAUGGUUUAUUUAUCUUGUGCUUAUAGGAGUGCCUGCACCAACAUAGAACAACUUCUUUCAAAUGGUAUUGUACAAUCCUUUUAAACUACAGCUGGAGUCUGCGAGAACUAAACAACAUUGAUGUUGACAGCUUUGGAUUUACAGCACUUGGUAAAUGGGUUUGAGUAAUAAUUUAGAGUCAGAUUUAGUCUAAAUGAAUAUAUUUUUGUUUCACAGGGCCCAUGGGCACAGUAAUCUCUAUAAGCAGAAUUUCCAUAAAAUACAGAGUCUGUACAUGGUGGACUGGACUUUAAUUUGAGAGAUAUUCAAAAUUACAUUAGUAGUAUUUUCAGAGUCAGGGUGGUACUGACCAUUCAUAGAUCAGAAAGUUUGAAUAUGCAUAACAACAACAACGACAACAACAACCUUUUAGAGGGCAAAAGAAGGCAGUGUGCAAUCUGCCUUGACAACAUACAGUCUACAGAUAUUGAUAGUUAUUUGACAUUGAUAUAUUUACAUACAUAUCAGCAUGCAAAGACAACUAACAAUCUGUUCAGGUAAAGAAAAGAAAAAAAAAACGUUUUUUUGUGUUUUUUUUACCGGUGUAUCGCAAUUCCAAAUUUUACAUUUUCACAUUCAUAUGCAGAUACUGUGUGUGUGUAGGUUUCAAGUGCUUCAUUGUUCAUUUAAAAAAAUUAAGUCAGUACACGUGUGCUAAAUCUUCUCUUCAAACACACUGUACAGGAGGGGAAUUCCUCCAUUACUCACCAGUUUGAAGAUGUGAAGGUUAUGACUGUGAGUUUUGCAUAAUCAGGGGGAUAUCUGACUUCACUGACAGAUGGGGACACUGUAGCAGUUAGAGAAAAAGCUAAUGGCUCUUCGCCUCUUGCUUUGCCCACUUAGAGUUAAGUUGGAUCAGUAUUUCCAAUCUGGAGACUGCUAUCACUGGGCGCCAAAAGUCCUUGGUGAAAACCAGCGUCUGACAUUGCUCAGAUUAUGUUUAAUGGGAGAGGAGGCAUCUGCACAGAUGAGCACUUAGAACACUGUGUGCCUUGGAGUAUUGGUCAUUGCCUAUUGAUGCUCAUCCAUCAUUGUGUCUUAGCUUUUGAGUCUAAAAGUUGUGAGCACAGAGACUUUGAUUCUCACCCCAGGGAGUCCAGGAAAGUUGUGAGAACCUUAGUUUUAUUUCUCAGAUUUCUAAACUGAUAAUAAAUAGCGAAAGAUUUUACCAGAUUUUGGUUAUAGAAGUGUUUUCUACAAGGAUUUCAGCGAGAAUUGGCUGUAAUCGGGUAAACUGUCCAAAUGGAGAGCAAAAACAUGAUGCUUCAUGAGGUUAUACAUCUGAGGUUGAAUUAGCUCAAAUUAGUUCAUUUUAACAGAUAUAUCUCAGAAUCUGCUCUGAGAUGAUUCCCAACACCAGCUCCAUCCUGGCUUUUUGAGUCAAUCCUCAGAAGACCGUUCAGUAUCGUCAUAAAAAGUUGGCCCUCGAGGCUAAAAUCAUUUCCAGAUGAUAGCAGAUGAGUGAGCAACAUUUCUGUGGGGUUUCUGCAACAAAACACCUUAAAUUGAUUGGAAUCUUGUUGCUGGGAUACAGUCCCAAAGGUGUCAAAAUCCAGUUAUGGUCAAUAACCAAUAUGACUGCACAUGACAGACCUGUAUGGCAAAGCUAUUGUCCUUUAUUACCGUGACAGGAAAUCAAUGUCCCAGUUUGACUCUAUUGUUGGAUUCAUGAAAGACAGUCUGAAGAGAUAAAUAUUAUCAUGCUAAGCAUCAACCGCCGGGAGAGAAAUAAGCAUUGUCUUUCUAAUUCAUGCAAUGCUGUCAUGAGCACAUGUACCCACACACAUGUCAACACAGUCACAUGCAUAUGUACACAGAAAUGUGCACACAUGUAUCCAACAACCACCCACGCACACCCUUGGAAGAAACCACUCACACUUCGCCCCCAUAGAGUACAUGUCAGUCCAUCUGGGAUCAUUAACACUAUGGUAAUGAAUAUAGGGCCAGGGCCAGGAGCAUGUGAGGAGACGCGAGGAGAGAGAGAGAGAGAGACACAGAAAGAGAUGGAGAGAGAGAGAUAAAGAGGACAGAAGGUGGGAGGAUGGAGGAGGAUAAUGGAUUCUCUCCUAACAAAUGCACUGCCCGAGGUAGUUGUGGGGGGAACAUGGAUAAGAAAAGACUGAAAGUGAGGGGAGGGGAGCGGCAGCGAGAAGAAGAAAACCAGACUACACCGAGUUGAGGUGAAGUAAGAACUGAAAGAGAGCAAUAGAGCAGAAAGGAAAGUGAAGGGAAGGGAUGAUGCUCAAGAGCCAGUCAAUGUGAAAGGAAAACGCUCAAAAGGCGAAGUAAGAAGGAAAAAGAUGCACCAAGAACGAUCUGGCCGGGGGCUGGUGAGGGCUCUGUGGAAAUAACUGAACAGAUGAAGAGAAGAAAGGGAAGGAAGGAAAGACAGCAGAGACGACAGAUGAGCUGAGAGAACAGGCGGGGACAGACAAGGAGAUACAGUAUAACAAAUGAUGGCAGAGGCAAUGCAAGCUGACUAGAGUGGUUAAAUAUUUCACUGGGGUUUGUUUGCUCUUUUGUGUUUCUGAAUCUGUGUGUGUGUGUGUGUGUGUGUGUGUGAAGUGAGAGUCCCUGAGAGGCGGAAAGGAGGGCAGAGCAGGGCAGAGGAGAGAGCGAACGAGUGAAGUGUGCCUGUUGACUGGGCAAGUUAAUGAUUCCUCUGGGUUGAAUAGUGACACAGUGUUGGUCCAGGAAGAGAGGGAGGGGGCUCAUUUACCCCCUACUGACACACACAUGCAACUUUGUUUAAUGGGUUUGUGUAUCUGUACUCAUUUUGACCCCACGUUAGCUUGAUUUGGAAUAUUCUUACCUCCUUUGCUCUAAGCAGAUCCACCACCUCACCUAAAAGAUAG
RNAcentral lists this long non-coding RNA (16196 nucleotides) under Xyrichtys novacula (pearly razorfish). Lineage: Eukaryota; Metazoa; Chordata; Actinopteri; Labriformes; Labridae. The record is from RNAcentral.